This 298-nucleotide long non-coding RNA is filed under the name Elaeis guineensis (African oil palm). Its description in RNAcentral is "long non-coding RNA (EGUI_LNC020315)". The record is from RNAcentral. Lineage: Eukaryota; Viridiplantae; Streptophyta; Magnoliopsida; Arecales; Arecaceae.
AGGAUUUGAGUGUGACCUAAUUCCUAAUUAGAUUGGGAUUUAAAUCAAGAGAGAUUAGGUUCCUAGUUGGAUUAGGAUUCCUCCUCUCUUUGGGUGCACUAAUUCUUAAUUAGAUUAGGAAUUUAAUUAGGUUUGACCAAACACCAAGAGAAGUCCCAAAUCAUUAGGACUCUCCCUCUCUUCUUGCACCCAACAAACUCCACGCCAAGCACUUAUCCGCAUGCCACUUCUUUUAAGUUUUGCAUGAGGUUUCUUCACACAAAAGCAAAAGUCACCCCAUGUAUUCUCAACUCCCCAU